This 413-nucleotide ribosomal RNA is filed under the name uncultured bacterium. RNAcentral's name for it is "bacterial SSU rRNA". It matches the Rfam family "Bacterial small subunit ribosomal RNA", at positions 505 to 916 of the family's 1533-position model. The record is from RNAcentral.
GUGCCAGCAGCCGCGGUAAUACGUAGGUGGCUAGCGUUGUCCGGAAUUACUGGGCGUAAAGGGCGUGUAGGCGGGGUGGCAAGUCAGAUGUGAAAUUCCGGGGCUCAACUCCGGCGCUGCAUCUGAAACUGCUGCUCUUGAGUGCUGGAGAGGAAAGCGGAAUUCCCAGUGUAGCGGUGAAAUGCGUAGAGAUUGGGAGGAACACCAGUGGCGAAGGCGGCUUUCUGGACAGCAACUGACGCUGAGGCGCGAAAGCGUGGGGAGCAAACAGGAUUAGAUACCCUGGUAGUCCACGCCGUAAACGAUGGAUACUAGGUGUAGGAGGUAUCGACCCCUUCUGUGCCGUAGUUAACACAAUAAGUAUCCCGCCUGGGGAGUACGGCCGCAAGGCUGAAACUCAAAGGAAUUGACGG